UACGUAGGGGGCAAGCGUUGUCCGGAUUUAUUGGGCGUAAAGAGCGUGUAGGCGGUUUGGUAGGUCCGCUGUGAAAACUCGAGGCUCAACCUCGAGACGCCGGUGGAAACCAUCAGGCUAGAGUCCGGAAGAGGAGAGUGGAAUUCCUGGUGUAGCGGUGAAAUGCGCAGAUAUCGGGAAGAACACCCGUGGCGAAGGCGGCUCUCUGGGACGGUACUGACGCCGAGACGCGAAAGCGUGGGGAGCAAACAGG
RNAcentral lists this ribosomal RNA (253 nucleotides) under uncultured bacterium. RNAcentral's name for it is "partial 16S ribosomal RNA". It matches the Rfam family "Bacterial small subunit ribosomal RNA", at positions 524 to 776 of the family's 1533-position model. The record is from RNAcentral.